CGGACGGGACCCGCACGAAGCGGUGAUGAUGUGGAUUAAUUCGAUGACAACGCGAAAACCUUACCUACCCUUGACAUGUCCGGAAUCCCGAAGAGAUUUGGGAGUGCUCGCAAGGAGAACCGGAACACAGGUGCUGCAUGGCUGUCGUCAGCUCGUGUCGUGAGAUGUUGGGUUAAGUCCCGCAACGAGCGCAACCCUUGUCAUUAGUUGCCAUCAUUUGGUUGGGCACUCUAAUGAGACUGCCGGUGACAAACCGGAGGAAGGUGGGGAUGACGUCAAGUCCUCAUGGCCCUUAUGGGUAGGGCUUCACACGUCAUACAAUGGUCGGUACAGAGGGUUGCCAACCCGCGAGGGGGAGCUAAUCCCACAAAGCCGAUCGUAGUCCGGAUCGCAGUCUGCAACUCGACUGCGUGAAGUCGGAAUCGCUAGUAAUCGUGGAUCAGCAUGUCACGGUGAAUACGUUCCCGGGUCUU
This 473-nucleotide ribosomal RNA is filed under the name uncultured Rhodocyclaceae bacterium. Its description in RNAcentral is "bacterial SSU rRNA". It matches the Rfam family "Bacterial small subunit ribosomal RNA", at positions 916 to 1381 of the family's 1533-position model. The record is from RNAcentral. Lineage: Bacteria; Pseudomonadati; Pseudomonadota; Betaproteobacteria; Rhodocyclales; Rhodocyclaceae.